CACCAAGCCUUCGAUGGAUAGGGGUUCUGAGAGGAAGGUCCCCCACAUUGGAACUGAGACACGGUCCAAACUCCUACGGGAGGCAGCAGUGAGGAAUAUUGGUCAAUGGGCGCGAGCCUGAACCAGCCAAGUAGCGUGAAGGAUGACUGCCCUAUGGGUUGUAAACUUCUUUUAUAUUAGAAUAAAGUGCAGUAUGUAUACUGUUUUGUAUGUAUAAUAUGAAUAAGGAUCGGCUAACUCCGUGCCAGCAGCCGCGGUAAUACGGAGGAUCCGAGCGUUAUCCGGAUUUAUUGGGUUUAAAGGGAGCGUAGGUGGACUGGUAAGUCAGUUGUGAAAGUUUGCGGCUCAACCGUAAAAUUGCAGUUGAUACUGUCAGUCUUGAGUACAGUAGAGGUGGGCGGAAUUCGUGGUGUAGCGGUGAAAUGCUUAGAUAUCACGAAGAACUCCGAUUGCGAAGGCAGCUCACUGGACUGCAACUGACACUGAUGCUCGAAAGUGUGGGUAUCAAACAGGAUUAGAUACCCUGGUAGUCCACACAGUAAACGAUGAAUACUCGCUGUUUGCGAUAUACAGUAAGCGGCCAAGCGAAAGCAUUAAGUAUUCCACCUGGGGAGUACGCCGGCAACGGUGAAACUCAAAGGAAUUGACGGGGGCCCGCACAAGCGGAGGAACAUGUGGUUUAAUUCGAUGAUACGCGAGGAACCUUACCCGGGCUUAAAUUGCAGUGGAAUGAUGUGGAAACAUGUCAGUGAGCAAUCACCGCUGUGAAGGUGCUGCAUGGUUGUCGUCAGCUCGUGCCGUGAGGUGUCGGCUUAAGUGCCAUAACGAGCGCAACCCUUAUCUUCAGUUACUAACAGGUCAUGCUGAGGACUCUGGAGAGACUGCCGUCGUAAGAUGUGAGGAAGGUGGGGAUGACGUCAAAUCAGCACGGCCCUUACGUCCGGGGCUACACACGUGUUACAAUGGGGGGUACAGAAGGCAGCUACCUGGUGACAGGAUGCUAAUCCCAAAAGCCUCUCUCAGUUCGGAUCGAAGUCUGCAACCCGACUUCGUGAAGCUGGAUUCGCUAGUAAUCGCGCAUCAGCCACGGCGCGGUGAAUACGUUCCCGGGCCUUGUACACACCGCCCGUCAAGCCAUGGGAGCCGGGGGUACCUGAAGUACGUAACCGCAAGGA
This 1175-nucleotide ribosomal RNA is filed under the name Bacteroides hominis. RNAcentral's name for it is "bacterial SSU rRNA". It matches the Rfam family "Bacterial small subunit ribosomal RNA", at positions 266 to 1451 of the family's 1533-position model. Lineage: Bacteria; Pseudomonadati; Bacteroidota; Bacteroidia; Bacteroidales; Bacteroidaceae. The record is from RNAcentral.